GUGGGCAGACUGCACUGUUCUGAUCCCUCGUCGAGGAUUGCGGGUCCUUCAGAGCUUCCAUGGGUGGACUUCAGCAUGAGAGAGAAGAAAAGAAAAAAAGGUAGAGGGGGAAAAAGUUCACAUCUGGAUUUACUGGUUUUAUUUGCCUGAAUAUAGUAAAGUAUGGGAGAAGUUUAAUUUCCAGUACUUUUAGAGAGGGUAAGGAACUGUAUUUGGACAUUUUCUUGUUUUUGCAAUCUGGAAAGCACAUGUCUAUGUUGAAAACCAUGUCUGUGCUGACCUUACAGUCCAGACUUAUGUAUUUACAUUUGCAAUGUCAGCCUGCCAUUUUUCUUUU
Lycium ferocissimum is the source of this 337-nucleotide long non-coding RNA. RefSeq lists it as uncharacterized. The transcript is spliced from 2 exons. The record is from RefSeq and is a predicted model, not a curated record. NCBI's taxonomy places the organism in Eukaryota, Viridiplantae, Streptophyta, Magnoliopsida, Solanales, Solanaceae.